RNAcentral lists this non-coding RNA (177 nucleotides) under Anaerolineae bacterium. Its description in RNAcentral is "6S RNA". It matches the Rfam family "6S / SsrS RNA". From Rfam's summary of the family: E. coli 6S RNA was the first non coding RNA to be sequenced, but its function was unknown until recently. It consists of 184 nucleotides that fold into an extended hairpin structure with a large single-stranded internal bulge. The record is from RNAcentral. Lineage: Bacteria; Bacillati; Chloroflexota; Anaerolineae. RNAcentral also lists the same sequence under 1 other name.
GUUACCCUGCUGUGCACGUGUUGUUGCUUUUUGCGUUCUGAGCCAACACUGAUAUUUGGGAGUCCACUCUCAUGAAGGUGACGCGAUAGGCUAGAGCCAAGGCGGAUCCUUCUGGUAGGACACCAACCUGCGAAAGCAGGUUCAGAACUUUGCAUCACACGACAUAGUGGGGUUCUU